This 468-nucleotide ribosomal RNA is filed under the name uncultured bacterium. Its description in RNAcentral is "partial 16S ribosomal RNA". It matches the Rfam family "Bacterial small subunit ribosomal RNA", at positions 28 to 507 of the family's 1533-position model. The record is from RNAcentral.
GACGAACGCUGGCGGCGUGCUUAACACAUGCAAGUCGAACGGAAAGGCCCUGCUUUUGUGGGGUGCUCGAGUGGCGAACGGGUGAGUAACACGUGAGUAACCUGCCCUUGACUUUGGGAUAACUUCAGGAAACUGGGGCUAAUACCGGAUAGGAGCUCCUGCUGCAUGGUGGGGGUUGGAAAGUUUCGGCGGUUGGGGAUGGACUCGCAGCUUAUCAGCUUGUUGGUGGGGUAGUGGCUUACCAAGGCUUUGACGGGUAGCCGGCCUGAGAGGGUGACCGGCCACAUUGGGACUGAGAUACGGCCCAGACUCCUACGGGAGGCAGCAGUGGGGAAUAUUGCGCAAUGGGCGGAAGCCUGAUGCAGCAACGCCGCGUGCGGGAUGACGGCCUUCGGGUUGUAAACCGCUUUCGCCUGUGACGAAGCGUGAGUGACGGUAAUGGGUAAAGAAGCACCGGCUAACUACGUG